Leopardus geoffroyi (Geoffroy's cat) is the source of this 2700-nucleotide long non-coding RNA. RefSeq lists it as uncharacterized. Lineage: Eukaryota; Metazoa; Chordata; Mammalia; Carnivora; Felidae. The transcript is spliced from 2 exons. The record is from RefSeq and is a predicted model, not a curated record.
GCCAAAGCCUCUGGGUCCCCCAGUGUCCCACCCCGAUAGCUCCCUGGGAUCCUUGCAGCAGUGAACUUACUGGGAUCUUGCUCCAACUCUCCCACCAAGAAGCCACUGAGCGAUCCUUUCACACAGAUCUGACCCUGCCCUCCCAGUCCCAGUCUUUCAUGGUCAACUUGCACCUACACCUGGCACAGUCACCCCACAUUGAGAGCCAACAUCCAACAUUGGAGUCAAAACUCCACUAUGGGAGUUAAUGCCCCUCCUGGGAACCAACACUCUAAACUGAGAGCCAACACCCUGCCCUGGAGUCAACACCCCACAUUGGAGCCAACACCCCACUCUGGGAGCCUACCCCCUACAUUGGAGCCAACAUCUCACCUGGGAGUCAACGCUCGACCCUGAGAUCCAACACCCUAUUCAGGAAGCCAACAUCCCAUCCUGGGGGUCAACACCUCACUUUGGAAUCAACACGGCACCCUGGGAGCUAACACCCCACCCUGAAGUUAAUGCCCACCCUGGACUGUGAGCCUGUAAUUACAAUUGCUGCCCAUUGAUUAGAAAAGCACAAGGCCCCAGGGUGCACAGGAGUGUCCAGGCUUCAGUCUCCACAGCAGAGAUGAGAGGACCUGGCCACUGUCUUCCUCUUGCGGACAGGGCAGCUCACACGACUCCUGUAGGAACCACCAGGGGCAAACCCACCGAGACCCCAGUGAGACCAUGAACUUCUUCAUGAACCCACUUACUCAGGGAGCAUCUACUGAAGUGUCAGACCCUGGGAACACCAAACGCCAAGGCCAGGGACAGACACAGAGGACAAGGGCACCCAGCGACUGGAGGCCAGGCUGCCCAGAGGAGCCUGAGGGAGAGUACUGCUCUUGCGAAGGCCAGUCCUGGCUUGGCACUGAAGUGGACACCCAGCAAGGUCCCAGCAUCCCACCCCAGGACCCCAGCGUCUGUGCCAAGGCUGGGACAGGACCAGAGCCCAGAGCCACAUGCGCAGGGGCCCAAAAGACACCAGACAAAGACCUCAUUGUGCCUGGAGCUCGGUUUGAGAACAGCCCUGGGUCUGACAGCCGGCAGGCCAAAGGACCCCCCUGGGACAGAGCCGGGCCAGCAGCCCUCCCCAGGGUGUGGCUGGAGCCAGGCAGAGAUUCCCAGUGUGUCGAGUGUCCAGCCCACAGGGUGAUUUGGCCUCCCCCCCAUCCCCAAGUUCAGUGCUGGGUGGUCCGGCCGGGAGCCCAGCGCGGGGUGGCUGCCUGCUCUCUGUCCAGCUGCCAGCCCGCGGAGUGAAUGAGAAUAUUUUAUGAGGAUGAAGCCCUCAGGAAACCCUUAAGGACAGACCCGGCCCCUGAGCCCCAGAAUUGCCUCCCGAUGUAAUUCCUCGGCCCCUCUUUCCACAGACCGUGACUGCAGCAGGUGAAGGCACGCUCGGCUGGAGCUGCUCUGCGGCCCGAGGCCCACACUGGGCCUGCUCUCCACUGUUAUCUCAGACUUAAUGAAACUAUGUUCAAGGCGCUCUUUACCCACCACACAGAUCUCUCCUUUGAUUAGGCACUUCCAGGUGGUGGAAACAAUACAGAGACUCCUCGACCACCGGACUGAUGCUAAUUAUCAGAGCUGCUCUGCCUGGCUGGAGGCCAGCCCUCGUUCUCUGGGGUCCAGAGCCCCGCAAGGUCGGCCGCAAAGAUGGCCAGGGAGGCCCAGGCACUCAGGGACUACCGUGGACAAGGCUGCUGGGGUCUGAGCUACCCAGGGCCCGAGGUCCCCGGCUCUAGGCCAACAUCAGUGCCCCACCCCUGUUGCUCACUCCCCCUCCAGAGCCAGCCCAGAGUCCGCCCCACCUGCAGGCCCCACAGACAGGCCGCAGGGUCUGUCCCCACUGCUCUGGGAUUCCUCAAGGGGAUCUGGUUGGAGCCCAGACACAGCCAGGCCGAGCGCUGGUCAGAGGGCUCUGUGGGGAGCCCCUGUACCCAGAGAGCACGUGAGAGGCCCAGUGUCCCUAGAAGAGGGGCAGGUGGGCAUGGGCUCCCCAGAGCUCCCAGCGUGGUGCAUCUUCAAGCCAGGACUUUGCACUGGACCUUUCUGUGCGCGCUCACCCCAUUCUGUGAGGGUACACUCCUCUCCUCCCACCUCACCGGCCAAGCUGGACCCCAAGUUCUAAGCCAGCCUAUUGCCUGGCCCCUGACAGCCUCACCAUUCUGGAAGGGCCUCUCAGCCCAGAGCUGUCCCUGGAGGUAGGGUAGGCAGGGUACAGGUAGGGGGCUGAUCUUCAGGCCUGAGCCAUCUGACAGCUCCUCACUGCCCGGGCAGGGGCCCUGUGAGCCCCCCUAGCCCCUGACCAGCAGCCCGAGAGCAUCCCACUCGCCCCUUCAUUCAUGCACAGACCCUUGUGCUCUGAGCUGCGGGGUCCCCACCCCCGCUCUGGCCAAGAACCACCAGCUGUCUAUGGUGAGAGCACAAGUGAAGCCACCGGGGGCCGUGCCUGGUGGAGCAGCUGGCUCUGUGCGUGCGUGUGUGUGUGUGUGUGUGUGCGCCCGCGUGAGAGAGACAGAGAGAGACAGAGAGAGCGCCCUCCUCCUGGGUCUGCUUGCCCAUCAACUCCACAAACCGGGACCCAAUGAUGCCACCUUUCCUCCCCGCUGCUCCAGCAGGAGUUCCGGAAAGAGAGAAACUAAUUACAGACAAUAAAGGCCGCCUCCCAGCUGA